CAGCAGCCCCGCGGUAAUACAGAGGGUGCGAGCGUUAAUCGGAUUUACUGGGCGUAAAGCGUGCGUAGGCGGCUUUUUAAGUCGGAUGUGAAAUCCCCGAGCUUAACUUGGGAAUUGCAUUCGAUACUGGGAAGCUAGAGUAUGGGAGAGGAUGGUAGAAUUCCAGGUGUAGCGGUGAAAUGCGUAGAGAUCUGGAGGAAUACCGAUGGCGAAGGCAGCCAUCUGGCCUAAUACUGACGCUGAGGUACGAAAGCAUGGGGAGCAAACAGGAUUAGAUACCCUGGUAGUCCAUGCCGUAAACGAUGUCUACUAGCCGUUGGGGCCUUUGAGGCUUUAGUGGCGCAGCUAACGCGAUAAGUAGACCGCCUGGGGAGUACGGUCGCAAGACUAAAACUCAAAGGAAAUUGACG
Molecule: ribosomal RNA, 410 nt
Filed under: uncultured Acinetobacter sp.
Lineage: Bacteria; Pseudomonadati; Pseudomonadota; Gammaproteobacteria; Moraxellales; Moraxellaceae
Description: bacterial SSU rRNA
Rfam family: Bacterial small subunit ribosomal RNA
Source: RNAcentral